RNAcentral lists this transfer RNA (74 nucleotides) under Lactiplantibacillus pentosus. RNAcentral describes it as "Lactobacillus pentosus tRNA-Arg". It matches the Rfam family "tRNA". Rfam says of the family: Transfer RNA (tRNA) molecules are approximately 80 nucleotides in length. Their secondary structure includes four short double-helical elements and three loops (D, anti-codon, and T loops). The record is from RNAcentral. Lineage: Bacteria; Bacillati; Bacillota; Bacilli; Lactobacillales; Lactobacillaceae. RNAcentral also lists the same sequence under 1 other name.
GAGUCCUUAGCUCAACUGGAUAGAGAAACAUUUUUCUAAACUGUAGGUUGCGAGUUCAAUUUCCGCAUGGUUCA